This is a long non-coding RNA of Trachemys scripta elegans, 560 nucleotides long. RefSeq lists it as uncharacterized. The transcript has 3 exons. The record is from RefSeq and is a predicted model, not a curated record. NCBI's taxonomy places the organism in Eukaryota, Metazoa, Chordata, Testudines, Emydidae.
GGGUUUAAAUCCCAGCCCGGCUCAGCGCUGGGCACUCAGACCCGGCUCCCGGCAGCAUCAUGAAGUCAGGGGCCAUCUUCCUCCUCCUGGGCCUCCUGGCUCUCUGGGCCCAGCUGCCGCCUGCAUCUGGAGGGAGCCGUAGGAGCUGCCCAAAGCCGGUUGGCGCUGGGCACUGCGCGGAGUUAUGCGGCGUUGGCGGUUCCUGUCCCAAAGGAGAGAAGUGCUGCAGUAACGGGUGUGGCCACCAGUGCAUGAGAGUGUCUGGAGGGUCUCCCUAACGCCCGUCUGCCUGAACCCAGGCGCUGAGGGGACCUGCUGUCUCCACCCCCGUGACCGAGAACAAUCGCCGAGAACGGAUCAGCCUGCAAAGGCCCCACUUCCAGGGACCUCCCCCUGCUCCCCUCACUCUGCCCAGCCCCUUUGGCUGCUCCAGCUGCCCUCCGACUACAUCUGCCGCAUGACGUCACCGGCGCCUCCAUGCACCGGAGGCUGGGUGGGUGUGGCGGGGGAGCGAGCGUGUGCCCGGCCGCUGUCUGGCUCUGCUCGGAGCAGCACCCUGU